Erinaceus europaeus (western European hedgehog) is the source of this 792-nucleotide non-coding RNA. The record is from the annotation of a RefSeq genome assembly. NCBI's taxonomy places the organism in Eukaryota, Metazoa, Chordata, Mammalia, Eulipotyphla, Erinaceidae.
UCAGUCAUGUUUCUGGUGCUCAUCCCACUACUGGAGCUGAUUCUUGCCCUGAGAGGAGCUGGAGCCCAGUCAGUCACCCAGCCUGAUGGCCACAUCACUGUCUCUGAAGGAGACUCUCUGGAGCUCAAGUGCAAUUACUCUUCCUCUUAUUCAGUGUCUCUCUUCUGGUACGUGCAGUACCCCAGAGGAGGACUCCAGCUUCUGCUCAAGUACCUAUCAGGAGACCUGCUGGUUAAAGGCAUCAGAGGAUUUGAAGCUGAAUUUAAGAAGAGUGAAACUUCCUUCCACCUGAAGAAAUCCUCAGCCCAGCUGAGCGACCAGGCCCUGUACUUCUGUGCCAUCAGUGACACAGUGACUGGGACGGCAGGGGGAGCCGCACACAAACCUCUGACACCCCGCAGUCUUCUGUGUGUCAUCAACUCAGCCAGGAGAGAUUUCAAAGUGUCUUUUCCAGUUACAGCAAUAGGAGACAGAUGGUGGAUUGAGCCCCAGGGAGCAUUUUUCUUGUUUUUUUUUUUUUAAUUUUAUUUAUUUAUUCCCUUUUGUUGCCCUUGUUGUUUUUUUAUUGUUGUAGUUAUUAUUGUUGUUGUCGUUGUUGGAUAGGACAGAGAGAAAUGGAGAGAGGAGGGGAAGACAGAGAGGAGGAGAGAAAGAUAGACACCUGCAGAGCUGCUUCACCGCCUGUGAAGUGACUCCCCUGCAGGUGGGGAGCCGGGGUUCGAACCGGGAUCCUUAUGCCGGUCCUUGUGCUUUGCGCCACCUGCGCUUAACCCGCUGCGCUACAGCCCAACU